AAAUUGAAGAGUUUGAUCAUGGCUCAGAUUGAACGCUGGCGGCAGGCCUAACACAUGCAAGUCGAACGGUAACAGGAAGAAGCUUGCUUCUUUGCUGACGAGUGGCGGACGGGUGAGUAAUGUCUGGGAAACUGCCUGAUGGAGGGGGAUAACUACUGGAAACGGUAGCUAAUACCGCAUAACGUCGCAAGACCAAAGAGGGGGACCUUCGGGCCUCUUGCCAUCAGAUGUGCCCAGAUGGGAUUAGCUUGUUGGUGGGGUAA
RNAcentral lists this ribosomal RNA (263 nucleotides) under Escherichia coli. RNAcentral describes it as "partial 16S ribosomal RNA". It matches the Rfam family "Bacterial small subunit ribosomal RNA", at positions 1 to 260 of the family's 1533-position model. The record is from RNAcentral. Lineage: Bacteria; Pseudomonadati; Pseudomonadota; Gammaproteobacteria; Enterobacterales; Enterobacteriaceae.